Long non-coding RNA from Prionailurus viverrinus (fishing cat), 538 nucleotides. RefSeq lists it as uncharacterized. Lineage: Eukaryota; Metazoa; Chordata; Mammalia; Carnivora; Felidae. The record is from RefSeq and is a predicted model, not a curated record. The transcript is spliced from 3 exons.
AAAUUUACAGAGAUAUUUUAUCCUCGUAGAGCUCAAAUAAUAACAUAAUUAAAUACUUACUUGCAAUUAUGACAAGCCCUACAAAGGAGAAGUUCAGAGGCUGUGGGGGAAGAUAAAAGGAAGGGAAAACUCAGUGAAGAAGUCAACUUAAGCUUUCCUUGAGGAAGUGAUAAUUGAGCCGACUUUUGAAAAAUAAGCAGAAAUGAACCAAUCAAAGAAGGCAUGAGGAGAGGCGUCUUGUUCCAGGCAGAGGCAAUUAUACAUGGGAAGGUCCAAAAGCAGGAAGAGACAUGGCAUAAGGCCAGUGUGGCUGGAGCUCAAAAAGUUUCUUAACCAUGAGGAAAGCACAUCGGAGAGUCUGGACUCAGGCUGGAUGCAGUAAGCCGGAUAAAACUUGAGUGAUGAGGCCAACACUUAAGAGGAGGCAGACCAACAAUGGAGAACUAACUUGGAUCCUCAAAUGACCUCCUGGAGUGGAGCCACCUACUCACCUUGGGCCACAGAUGAGAAAUAAAUAAACUCUGUUUUAUCUAAAGCA